GACGUAGGGUGCGAGCGUUGUCCGGAUUUAUUGGGCGUAAAGAGCUCGUAGGCGGCUCGUCGCGUCGACCGUGAAAACCCGCGGCUUAACUGCGGGCUUGCGGUUGAUACGGGCGGGCUAGAGUUCGGUAGGGGAGACUGGAAUUCCUGGUGUAGCGGUGAAAUGCGCAGAUAUCAGGAGGAACACCGGUGGCGAAGGCGGUUCUCUGGGCCUUACCUGACGCUGAGGAGCGAAAGCGUGGGGAGCGAACAGG
This 253-nucleotide ribosomal RNA is filed under the name uncultured bacterium. RNAcentral's name for it is "partial 16S ribosomal RNA". It matches the Rfam family "Bacterial small subunit ribosomal RNA", at positions 524 to 776 of the family's 1533-position model. The record is from RNAcentral.